Molecule: ribosomal RNA, 775 nt
Filed under: uncultured Neocallimastigales
Lineage: Eukaryota; Fungi; Neocallimastigomycota; Neocallimastigomycetes; Neocallimastigales
Description: partial large subunit ribosomal RNA
Rfam family: Eukaryotic large subunit ribosomal RNA
Source: RNAcentral
GUAGUCUCGCACAGAUGUAUAUCAAUAAGCGGAGGAAAAGAAACUAACUAGGAUUCCCUCAGUAACGGCGAGUGAAGCGGGAAGAGCUCAAAUUUGAAAUCUUCAAGGUUCUACCUUGACGAAUUGUAGUUUAAAGAAGUGUUUUCUGUUGGAGUUUUGGUAAAAGUUCUUUGGAAUAGGACAUCAUAGAGGGUGAGAAUCCCGUAUUUGACCAUUAUUUCCAGCUUUGUGAUACACUUUCAAAGAGUCGGAUUGUUUGGGAAUGCAGUCCAAAAUGGGUGGUAAAUUUCAUCUAAAGCUAAAUACUGGCGAGAGACCGAUAGCGAACAAGUACCGUGAGGGAAAGAUGAAAAGAACUUUGAAAAGAGAGUUAAACAGUACGUGAAAUUGUCAAAAGGGAAGCGUUUGACACCAGUGUUGUUUUCUCGAAAAUCAAUUAAAAAAGGCAGGAUUUUGUGUUGUAUUGACUUUAUCAGCUUUCUGCACUCUUUUCUUGUCUUUUUUUAAUGCACUUUUCGUUUAACAAGUCAACAUCAAUUUCUUUUGUUGUAAAAGGGUCAUUGGAAGGUGGCUUUCUUUUCGGAGAAAGUGUUUAUAGCCUUUGGCCUCUGCAAUCGGAGAGAUUGAGGUCUGCAGCGUAGAUCCUUCGGGGUUAGAUACAUUUGUGCUAAGUUAUAGCCUUUCAUAGACAACUUGUUGACUAUGAUCAGUCAUGUAGCUUACUCGCUUAUGCUAUUUUACCUACGCUUAGGAUGUUGAAGUCAUCGUAUCGCGC